Molecule: ribosomal RNA, 483 nt
Filed under: uncultured bacterium
Lineage: Bacteria
Description: partial 16S ribosomal RNA
Rfam family: Bacterial small subunit ribosomal RNA
Source: RNAcentral
GACGAACGCUGGCGGCGUGCCUAACACAUGCAAGUCGAACGGGGGUAUUUAUUUCGAUGAAUACCUUAGUGGCGAACGGGUGAGUAACGCGUGAGCAACCUAUCCUUAAGAGGGGGAUAACAUCUGGAAACAGAUGCUAAUACCGCAUAAGACCACACUGCCGCAUGGCCGAGGGGUCAAAGGAGCAAUCCGUUUAAGGAGGGGCUCGCGUCCCAUUAGAUAGUUGGUGAGGUAACAGCUCACCAAGUCAGCGAUGGGUAGCCGAGCUGAGAGGCUGAUCGGCCACACUGGAACUGAGACACGGUCCAGACUCCUACGGGAGGCAGCAGUGGGGAAUAUUGGGCAAUGGGGGGAACCCUGACCCAGCAACGCCGCGUGAGGGAAGAAGGCCUUCGGGUUGUAAACCUCUGUCAUUAGGGAAGAAGAAAGUGACGGUACCUAAUGAGGAAGCCCCGGCUAACUACGUGCCAGCAGCCGCGGUAA